This 325-nucleotide long non-coding RNA is filed under the name Equus asinus (donkey). RNAcentral's name for it is "lncRNA (ENSEASG00005037366.1)". The record is from RNAcentral. Lineage: Eukaryota; Metazoa; Chordata; Mammalia; Perissodactyla; Equidae.
CUGGGAUGUGCUUUUCUUGCAGGGCUCCCUCUGUAAAGGUCCUAAGCAAACUGAUGGCACAUAGAGGUUUUUGUAGCCAACCUUCAAGAUGGCCCCCAAUGAUUCUUUCAUGUUGGAAUUCAUGCCACGUGCAGUCCCCUCCCACACUGAAUAGGGCUGACGUGUGUAACCAACAAGAUAUUGCAGAAAUGAUGGAGUGUGAUGUCCAAGACUAUGUCAUAAAAGACGUUACAGCUUCCACCUUGCUCUCUCUUGGAUCCCUUUUCUGGAAGAAGCCAGCUGCCAUGUUGUGAGAACACUCAAGCAGCCUUACAAGAGGUCCGCG